RNAcentral lists this long non-coding RNA (1570 nucleotides) under Manihot esculenta (cassava). Its description in RNAcentral is "long non-coding RNA (MESC_LNC000829)". The stretch from base 452 to 544 matches the Rfam family "Small nucleolar RNA Z103". The record is from RNAcentral. Lineage: Eukaryota; Viridiplantae; Streptophyta; Magnoliopsida; Malpighiales; Euphorbiaceae.
AGAAGGGGUCUCCGCCUCCUCGAGCUUUUAUAGGAGAAGACGGUAGUGGUAGGGUUUAUGGUUUUCUUCAAGGAUUGUACUGUUUUUGUUCAUAAUAAUUAAGCCUUAAAUGCGUCAUAUACUGAUUACCGGCGUUCAAUAUUGCUACGGACGCUGCGUAUGAGCUGACGCUAUAUCUUUUUUUCCUUUUCUGCAUAUGACAUCCUUCUUGUAGGAGCACGCUAUUCUGCAUUAUUGGCAGAUUUGGAGAUAUUUCUUUUUUUUUAAUUUAAUUUUUCUAUUUUUGAUCUUUUGAGAAAAAGAAGAUGGAGGUAUGAUUUUUUCCCCAGAUGAUCGACGCUGAAUAUACUGUGCGAUUUUUAAUCUCCAUUGAGAUUCACAGCCAGUCUUGCUGAUCCAUCUUCUCCAUCAAACUUCUUUGCUUUUUUUUUUUUACAAUUUACAAUUAAUAAUGGAGGUGAUGAAUAUUUCCCCAAAUGAUCGACGAUGAACAAACUGAGCGAUCUUUCUCUGUUAGGAGAACCAAGCCAGAAUUCUGAUCCAUUCUUUAUCCUUUACCAUCCUUAUUAUUGUUGUUGUUAUUAUUAUUAUUAUUAUUGUUGUUGUUGUUGUUAUUAUUAUUAUUAUUAUUAUUAAGAGAAAGAGAAGGAUGGAGAUCUCGACGCUGAACGAAUUAUGCUAUUUUCUCAUUUGAUAAUGCAAUUCAGGAGUUGGAUCCAUCUCUAUCCGUGCAAAUAUUAUUGUUAACGGCUAUUUAAUUAAUUACGUAUCUACGCGAUGGAACAUUUUAAUUAAUUUGUACACAUGCUAUAUGCUCGAUCAUACAUUGAAAUCCGAAACUUUCGGAGUGGGACUAGGGAGACUGCAUGGUUUCUUCUGACCAUGCAAUUUACAUUGCCCCAUUUCACAAGAAGUCUAAAACCCAAAGCCUCCCUACAGGACAUCACCGACUACUCAACAGCCACCGUCAAAGGAAGAAGCAGAAGUGCAGAAUCAUGAUUUUUUCAUUCUAUCGUAGACAUUGAGGAGCGGUUCUGAGUUGCAUCAAUAUUCUUUGUUCUUCAAUUUUCACUGUAUUAGAAAGAACAGUAUUACAAAUGUAAAGAAUUAUAACAGUAACUUAAUUGUGUAUGUUACCUUAUCACCCCUUAAUAAUCCUGAAUCUCAUAGCCGCCAGAAAUUUUUCUUCGGGUAAGGAAAAUGUCCAUUUUAUAAUAAGCAGUAUUGAAAGGAAUCAGCAACUGCAGAUUAUUUGAUAAGGAAAUUAAGCAAACCUGAAUUUGUACACCACCCACGAUGAGCUAAGCCCAAGCCCGUUAGUUGCUAAAUUGCGUAGGUUAGCUCUAGUUUUUUAAGGAGAAAUGAGUUAGGCACAAAGAUUAAGGUGAGAACCAGCAAGAAAAGGUAAAUAUUGAAAUCAGUAAAAAUCUAAAAAAUAUUAAUUUAGCCUCUAUUUAUUUAAAAUAAUUUAUAUUUAAAAAUAUAUAUAAAAAUUAUUUUUCUUGACACAAGUGAAUACUUAACAAUAUAUAUUUUUCUUUAUAUAUGCAAAUGUUGUAGUUUAGCAUGC